GGUUUAUAUUACUCUGACAUUAUCUACUGGUUUAUAUUACUCUGACAUUAUCUACUGGUUUAUAUUACUCUGACAUUAUCUACUGGUUUAUAUUAAUCUGACAUUAUCUACUGGUUUAUAUUAAGGUGAUGGGGUGUGUGUGUUUUAAUUUAAUGAUAAUUUAAAUAUAUGUUCAAUUAUUUACUGGUGCAGCACAUAUUUAUAUUAAGGUGAGGUGUGUGUGUGUGUUUUAAUGUAGUAAAUGAUUCUAAUAGAGGUUACAUUAGUUACUGGUGCAAGUUUCUUUCACCUUGUAAAGAAUAUAUUCAGAGUGCUAACAGAGUAACAGGCCUCUUCACCAUGGCAUGGCAGAGCAUGGAUUUACAGAAUGAAUGUACAACUUGCAGUGUACUAUUAAAUCCCAUAGAGGGCACCACAAACACAUUUACUGAGGGAGGAAGGGAGCAAGCUCCUGUAUAAUGAUACAAUCACCUGGAAGGUCUUGAUGCUGCAGUACAUUACAAACAGCAGCCAGGAUACAGGUGUUGAAUUGCUUAUCAGGAGGACAGGGCUAAGGUAGAUGGCAGAUGAAGGACAGUUCUCUUUUUCACAUGAUCCUCCAGUGCAAUGACACGGGCAGCUCUAGCCUGGGUCACUCUGAGCCUCUGUCUGGUAAGUGAGAGGAGUUGUCCUCGUGCAGCUCAGCAAGCUGGUCUCUUCCAGUCCAGGUCUGCGUUCCAACCAUGGCUGCGUUUCUACCUGGAGGAAAAGCCCCCCAGGACUGGAGCCUGUCACAAUGCAAGUGAAGCUGCCGCAUAUACUAGCACUGUGGCGCCCCCUAUGGUCUUUAAAUAGGUCUGCAUUAUCACGCAGAAAUAUAUGUGCAGUCUGCAGGGUGCAAUGCAACAUGGGGUGAAGUCAUUAAGGCUAUGAGUAGGGUGGUUUGCUACAGCUUAUGAUUUAAAUGGAAAUGUCUUAUUUUUCUGAUGAUAUUUAAUUUACAUUGCUGUAAAAACUAAAAAUAACAGGGUCACUGACUCAGUUUUAUUUCUCAUUAUAGUGUAUGGGGAGCAGAGGGGAGGGGGGCAAAUCCAUGCAUUCAUGAAACACAUUCAUCUCAUGCAAACACAUAGAAAUCACACGAGCUGUACCAAAGAAAAUAUGUGAUUCAUGUCAUUGUAUUGUAUGAAGGGUUGUGCAUGAUAAUGAUACUCUACUACUCUGUAUUUCUGAAUGUAUUUUUGCUGAUUUAUUUCAAUAAAGUUUCAAUCUCAA
Acipenser ruthenus (sterlet) is the source of this 1254-nucleotide long non-coding RNA. RefSeq lists it as uncharacterized. The record is from RefSeq and is a predicted model, not a curated record. The transcript has 2 exons. Lineage: Eukaryota; Metazoa; Chordata; Actinopteri; Acipenseriformes; Acipenseridae.